GAUGAACGCUAGCGGCAGGCCUAACACAUGCAAGUCGAGGGGUAACGAUGUCUUCGGACAGGCGACGACCGGCGCACGGGUGAGUAUCGCGUUUGUAACCUACCUUUAACUGGAGAAUAGCCCGAAGAAAUUCGGAUUAAUACUCCAUAAUACUAUGAUCUGGCAUCUUUUUAUAGUUAAAGCUCCGGCGGUUAAAGAUGGGCAUGCGUGACAUUAGUUUGUUGGUGAGGUAAUAGCUCACCAAGACUACGAUGUCUAGGGGGUCUGAGAGGAUGGUCCCCCACACUGGUACUGAGACACGGACCAGACUCCUACGGGAGGCAGCAGUGAGGAAUAUUGGUCAAUGGGCGCAAGCCUGAACCAGCCAUGCCGCGUGAAGGAUGACAGCGCUAUGCGUUGUAAACUUCUUUUGUACAGGAAGAAACACU
Molecule: ribosomal RNA, 428 nt
Filed under: uncultured bacterium
Lineage: Bacteria
Description: bacterial SSU rRNA
Rfam family: Bacterial small subunit ribosomal RNA
Source: RNAcentral